AUACGCAUCCUUUGCUGAGGAGACGGUUAACGGAGCGAAAGCGACGUUCAACCUCAAAAGAAGCAGAGGGGGCUUAGUGGUGGGGUGACUGCGUACCUUUUGUAUAAUGGGUCAGCGACUUAUAUUCUGUAGCAAGGUUAACUGUAUAGGGGAGCCGGAGGGAAACCGAGUCUUAACCGGGCGUUAAGUUGCAGGGUAUAGACCCGAAACCCGGUGAUCUAGCCAUGGGCAGGUUGAAGGUUGGGUAACACUAACUGGAGGACCGAACCGACUAAUGUUGAAAAAUUAGCGGAUGACCUGUGGCUGGGGGUGAAAGGCCAAUCAAACCGGGAGAUAGCUGGUUCUCCCCGAAAGCUAUUUAGGUAGCGCCUCGUGAAUUCAUCUCCGGGGGUAGA
This 395-nucleotide ribosomal RNA is filed under the name Salmonella enterica. RNAcentral's name for it is "partial 23S ribosomal RNA". The stretch from base 61 to 395 matches the Rfam family "Bacterial large subunit ribosomal RNA", at positions 568 to 906 of the family's 2925-position model. The record is from RNAcentral. Lineage: Bacteria; Pseudomonadati; Pseudomonadota; Gammaproteobacteria; Enterobacterales; Enterobacteriaceae.